This 212-nucleotide long non-coding RNA is filed under the name Lathyrus oleraceus (garden pea). RNAcentral's name for it is "Pisum sativum (pea) long non-coding RNA (PSAT_LNC033494)". The record is from RNAcentral. Lineage: Eukaryota; Viridiplantae; Streptophyta; Magnoliopsida; Fabales; Fabaceae.
AUACCUCAGCUUUUGAUGGAGAGACGAAGCUACAGCACUUGCCCCAUGAAUCCAAGGGCGUCCCAGCAAGCAGGAAUAGGCAGGACGAAUGUUCAUUAUGUGAAAGAUAGUGUUGAAGACUUGAGGUCCUAUCUUGAUAGGGAGGACCACUUCACCGUGGACAACGCUCUUCGCACCAUCGUAAGCACGCACCACAGCGUCACUAGGUUUCA